GAAAUGCAUAGAAAAUAUAUAUACCAAAAACAACUUUAAUCAUUUGUCUAAAGCAUGUCUCAUGUCUGACUUCUUUUCGUGUGCUCCAUAAUCAUAUGUUGAUUGUUUUUGAGGUCAUAUUCGGUAAAUUUUGACAAUAAAACAUAAAAUAUAAAAGUUUUGAAUACAGGACUUUGUUAAGUAUAUACAUGCAUCGGUUCAAGAAAUUCCUGAUCAUUAUAAUUUCAAAACAAUCGUUUCAUAUAACUUUUUAACAACUCCCGAAACCAAUGUCACCAUUAUUUAUUAAUUUAUUAAGAAUACAUGUAUACAAUUGUUUUAUCAUUAGCUAAUCAAAUCAUAACACGGAUAAAAAAAAAUGAUUAACAAAACUAAUUAUCUAUUUUUAUUAUAUAUAUCUGUUUACAAUAACUUAUAAAGAACUAUGCAAACGUAAAUUUCAGUAUUAAAGUACAAACUCCAAUAGAUUAUCUAUAAUAAAAAUACACCUGAUUAUACAUGAAUUUACGUUCAACAAAUUAAGCAUUUUACAUUCAGUUUCCGAUUCUUCUACAAUUGUUGAAAGGUAUCCAGACACACCAUUUUAGUUCAUGCAGGGGUGUCCACUUUUACAUUUAUGACAAAGAUCACUGCGGUGGGGCUUAUUUGGAUCGGUAUGGCGUUGUGCUCUUUCCUCCCGGGAACAAGUACAGUUGACCUAACCACAAAUCGAGCAUUUCAACCUUU
This 726-nucleotide long non-coding RNA is filed under the name Mytilus galloprovincialis (Mediterranean mussel). Lineage: Eukaryota; Metazoa; Mollusca; Bivalvia; Mytilida; Mytilidae. The record is from RNAcentral.